GGCCUGAGGUACUGGAAGGUCCUCAGGCCGAAAGGGGCUCUGCCCGCCCGAGGAUGGGCCGGCGGCCGAUUAGGUAGUUGGUGGGGUAACGGCCCACCAAGCCGAAGAUCGGUACGGGCCAUGAGAGUGGGAGCCCGGAGAUGGACACUGAGACACGGGUCCAGGCCCUACGGGGCGCAGCAGGCGCGAAACCUCCGCAAUGCGGGCAACCGCGACGGGGGGACCCCCAGUGCCGUGGCAACGCCACGGCUUUUCCGGAGUGUAAAAAGCUCCGGGAAUAAGGGCUGGGCAAGGCCGGUGGCAGCCGCCGCGGUAAUACCGGCGGCCCGAGUGGUGGCCGCUAUUAUUGGGCCUAAAGCGUCCGUAGCCGGGCCCGUAAGUCCCUGGCGAAAUCCCACGGCUCAACCGUGGGGCUUGCUGGGGAUACUGCGGGCCUUGGGACCGGGAGAGGCCGGGGGUACCCCUGGGGUAGGGGUGAAAUCCUAUAAUCCCAGGGGGACCGCCAGUGGCGAAGGCGCCCGGCUGGAACGGGUCCGACGGUGAGGGACGAAGGCCAGGGGAGCGAACCGGAUUAGAUACCCGGGUAGUCCUGGCUGUAAAGGAUGCGGGCUAGGUGUCGGGCGAGCUUCGAGCUCGCCCGGUGCCGA
This 647-nucleotide ribosomal RNA is filed under the name uncultured archaeon. RNAcentral's name for it is "bacterial SSU rRNA". It matches the Rfam family "Archaeal small subunit ribosomal RNA", at positions 156 to 804 of the family's 1478-position model. The record is from RNAcentral.